This 247-nucleotide ribosomal RNA is filed under the name uncultured bacterium. RNAcentral's name for it is "partial 16S ribosomal RNA". It matches the Rfam family "Bacterial small subunit ribosomal RNA", at positions 118 to 348 of the family's 1533-position model. The record is from RNAcentral.
UGGGUAACCUGCCUCAAAGAGGGGAAUAGCCUCCCCGAAAAGGGAGAUUAAUACCGCAUAAUAUGUUUAAGUCGCAUGACUUUAACAUCAAAGGAUUUUCUUUUAAGAAAUUCCACUUUGAGAUGGACCCGCGGCGCAUUAGCUAGUUGGUGAGGUAACGGCUCACCAAGGCAACGAUGCGUAGCCGACCUGAGAGGGUGAUCGGCCACAUUGGAACUGAGACACGGCCCAGACUCCGUAAGGGAGG